RNAcentral lists this ribosomal RNA (463 nucleotides) under uncultured bacterium. Its description in RNAcentral is "partial 16S ribosomal RNA". It matches the Rfam family "Bacterial small subunit ribosomal RNA", at positions 28 to 507 of the family's 1533-position model. The record is from RNAcentral.
GACGAACGCUGGCGGCGUGCUUAACACAUGCAAGUCGAACGGAAAGGCCUUUUCGGAGGUACUCGAGUGGCGAACGGGUGAGUAACACGUGGGUGAUCUGCCCUGCACUCUGGGAUAAGCCUGGGAAACUGGGUCUAAUACCGGAUAGGACCGCACUUUAGUGUGUGUGGUGGAAAGUUUUUUCGGUGUAGGAUGAGCCCGCGGCCUAUCAGCUUGUUGGUGGGGUAAUGGCCUACCAAGGCGGCGACGGGUAGCCGGACUGAGAGGUUGGUCGGCCACAUUGGGACUGAGAUACGGCCCAGACGCCUACGGGAGGCAGCAGUGGGGAAUAUUGCACAAUGGGCGCAAGCCGGAUGCAGCGACGCCGCGUGGGGGAUGACGGCCUUCGGGUUGUAAACUCCUUUCGCCAGGGACGAAGCGUUUUGUGACGGUACCUGGAGAAGAAGCACCGGCUAACUACGUG